AUACUAGAGGAUUUUGGAACUGAAACAUAUAAUUAUUACAGAAUCAUGAAAAAUAAAACAGUACACAACAAAUGGCAUCGCAGAGACAAAAACAAAUAAACAAAUGAUAACUAGCAAAGCAGCAGCUGAAAUAAAAUUCCAGAAACUGAAGCUUUUCAGGAAUGCCAUGUUUUCGCCUGACACCUGAAAGUAUAUGGCAGUGAGGCUAGGCAGACCUCCCUUGUGAAGGCAUUCCACAGCAUUCGUGGCACCAUUCCAAGUGGGCCUGCUGCUGAUAAACUCCUUGGUACAUUUAGACCAAGGGUGGAGAAUUAGAUCUGGCUGGUGGACCGGAUGGAGACAUCCCCCAAACCCUUUGACAGAUGGGUAUGGGUGAUGGGUAACAGCACCCUGACAUCAGGUGAGGCAUUCUCCUUUGUGCUUGCAGUUUGAUUUCAAACCAUGCAGGCUAAGGAAGUGUUUCCCCUGAGAUUUUCUUUGCCCAUGAAGUUUUAAAUCAUACCAUGAAUGCAAAUGAAGCAGGGAUUGCAGAUGCCCCGCUUUCAGUAGGAAUUGGCUCCAUUAAGGAGCAUCCAGGUAGAACCAAUCCCAGCAGGGUUUGCCUUUGGCCCCAAAUUUGCAAGGUGCCACAUAGAAGCCCUGGAUGCCAAGGAACAACCAGGAGUCUAUCUUAAGGCUUCUUCUUGUUUCUUUGCAUCCACACCUUUACCUGCUCCACACCUGAUGUCAUAUGUGACAUUAUAUGUGGCAUAAGGUCUGGUGCAGGUGGGCAUGGCUUGGGGAAAAUGUAUGGAGAGCAAAUUAAGACCCCUGCUGGAGGUUCCCCAACGCAGCCAUUUUCUCUGCCCUGCACAGUGCAACCCACUUAUCCCAUAUAUGCAGCAGAAGUGAUAGUGCUGUCAUUAAAAGUUGUACGCUAUGCUUUGCUGCAUUAAUAUGAUUUUAAAUUCAUCUGGCACAGCAGUGGUGGAAAGCCUAGGUGGGAUAAGCCUAGAAGCUGUUUUACCACCCCGCCAAAAAUAUAAAAUUCACUUCAUGACAGAAAUACAAUUUCUUAGUCAAAGGAAGGAAACCGCUCUUCUGGAGGCUGGUCCACAAAACACAAAGCCCUUAUCACAACUGGAACUAAUUGGCAGCCUGGCUGGAAGCUGCAGUGGGAGGCCAAGAGCGAAGCUGACAAUUGAAGCACCCACUUGUCCCCAGAGGGGGGCCUUCUGCAGGGCGGAACCGACACAAUUUGUCACAGCAAGCGGGGGGUGUUUGCAGUGCAGCACAGUGGCUAAUUCAAAAAUGUCAAGUCUCCAGAAUGAUUAUUCCGAAAACAUCUAUAAAUUCAUAAGUCAAUUCUGAAAAGAAAAGAAAAUGGGAAGAACUAUAUAAUGGUUUUUGAAGUUUAAUUAGGGCAGACUAGCAUGAUCCCAAGGGAUUGAAGGUAAUUUUUCUAGGCGUGCAUCAUUUCUUUUACAAUUAUUUUUGUGUGU
Non-coding RNA from Podarcis lilfordi (Lilford's wall lizard), 1481 nucleotides. NCBI's taxonomy places the organism in Eukaryota, Metazoa, Chordata, Lepidosauria, Squamata, Lacertidae. The record is from the annotation of a GenBank genome assembly.